GUACUCACUUCAGCAGCAAAUGCACUAAAAUUGUGAUGAUACAGAGAUUACCAUGGUCCCUACAGAAAGAUGACACACAAAUUCAUGAAGCAUUCCAUAUUCUU
Molecule: small nuclear RNA, 104 nt
Organism: Cercocebus atys (sooty mangabey)
Lineage: Eukaryota; Metazoa; Chordata; Mammalia; Primates; Cercopithecidae
Source: Ensembl